UGUAACACCGGUAACUACCCGGACCUGACACCGGGGCUCUGCCUGCGGCUCUGCUCGGUGUUCCCGUCCUAUUCUAAGAGCUCAGUGGCGCUGUUUUCAGAGUGAAGCUCCUCCCGCUCCUCCCGCUCCUCCGUCUCAUUCAGUCUCUCCUGUGAGAAGGACCGACUGCACGUACGGAUCUCUGGAGCUCUCCACCGUUACAUCAAACAGAGAGAUGAGCAGACAUGUGUUUUACCCUGGGAGAAUGGCUGUUUCAUUCCGACAAGUCUGCAGCUGUCAGGGAGGAGCUGGUCAGGCAGAACGCACUGACUGUGGUCCGCCAGAGAGGAGGAGACCCUUCAGAUACAACCGAGGUGUCUGGAGAUUACAUCCUGCAGUUCGGGAAGUACAAGGGGAAGUCCUUCCGCUAGCUUCUGGAGAAUGACAUUGGAUACACCAUCUACCUCAUCAGGAACCAGCAAAGAGAGGAAGCUGCAGGAGUGUUCAUGGCAGCGGGGCACAACAAGGACAGCCUCCUGUCCUUUGUGAACUAUUCCCUCAUGUUUCGAUAAAUCCAGUCUCUCCUCAACUAUGAGGAACACAAGCCAGUUGUGACAGCAGCAGCAUCGGAGGAUGACCAGCUGGUGGGUUUUGGGACUCGUGCCUACAGCACCUGGCGAGAGGUCUGGGAGAGCAGGGAGGACGGCUAUGCAUCCUUCAUCCUGAAGAAGAAGAACUGCACUGCAGGCACAAAGAUGCAUUAGCUUCAACUCUACCUGAAGAAGAAGCUGCAGCCACCCACUGUCUCCCCUCUGAUGUCACACGCCUCACCUGUGAUGUCACACGCCUCACAUGCUCCUGCUGAAGCCAUUGUGAUGGAUGAAGAUGAAGAGCUGGAGAGGAUGAUGCUGAGCAUCUCUCCUUCAAAGCAACAUGUGCAGAGCUCUGUUUCUGCAUCUUCGUCAUCCUCCUCAUCUGCCAGACGACGAGAAAGAGGUCUUUAACCCAGAGCACCGUGCUGCCGACCGACACAACUGGGACCAUGAGUUCCUCUCCCACAUGCAGCAGGACUUCCUGGUGGUGUCGACCGUGUUCUGGUCCUGUUUGUCUUUUGGUGUUCCACCUGUUGUCCUCGUGACGAUGAAUGGACUCCGGUCCUGAUGAGGUGUCACAGGCGCUCCUGAUUUCUCCUGAGACGUCUGCAGAGCCCGGUCAACUGCCAACUCCACAGAGAGGGCAAAGUGAGCCAUUCCCCAGGCCAAUAGCCGUCCCCACCGGUCCUCCUCCACAGCUUCCUGGCUGCCACCAUGACGUCAGCCAGUGGACCUGUUCACAGCAGCAGAGGAUCUGAUGAAGACGAGCUGGAAGCUAUGGGUUGCUUCUGUGGGAUGGGACUGAAGCAGGGCCCAAACAGCCCUCACAUUCACACCGGGUUCCCUGGGGUAGCAGGGAAGUACGUUUAUUGUCCUGCCAAAGUACUUUCCCUGUACAGAGACCAAGGCAUGGAGAAGGAGAUGACGUGGAGAGAGUUCCAGGCGUCUGCCUUCUAUGAGACGGGAAAAACAGAUGGGCCGUUUACAAGAGCAAAUAAGAGAGAUGAGCAGUGUUGUGUCAUGUAUAUAUCUUUUCUUAUUUUAAUAAUUACAUUCUUUUAUUAUAUAAAUUACAUUUGUUUUACUGUUUGUGUGACCUUGCACUAUGGGCUGUGUGUUCAAUAUUUACUGUCCCUGUUGUGAAUAAAUAUAUUUCAUGGACUAAUGUCUCCAUGUGUCAUUAAUAUAUGAAUCAUUAUAGUGAACAGUAAAGACAUAUUUAAUUUAAGUAAUUGCAAUUCAAAUGUUUAUGAGAAGAAAAAUGUAAUAUGUUACAUAUAGGUUAUAAAUAAGUCAAGUACUGAUAUAAUCUGUCUGCCACUGGGAUAAAGUGACACUCCAAAAAUAGCAAAGUAGGAAACACUUUUCUUGAUAAACAGCGUCCAAACGUGGCUUUUCAGGACAUUGGACAGCGUAGAUAAUACUGCAAUUUCAUUGGCUGUCAGUGAAUUCCCACUAUCCACGUCUUGCCCCCGCCAAGUGCCGAGUGUUUUAUUCCACUACACUAGUGUGUCGGGACAAUUAAAGAUGGCACAAAAGGUUAAUUUAUCCUUCUAUUUCUUCUUUCCUUGACGCCCAGCGACAGUUUGCAUGAAAACAAUUGACAUAUACGUAAUAAUACAAAUAUAAUAAUAACGAAUUAAGAGUGUAUAUAUAUAUAUAAAUAAGAAUAAAUCAGAGUUAAUAAUAAUUAAUUCAAAGAGUUGACCAAUAAAUAAUCAUAAAUCAAGAGUUGACAAUUGACAAAUACAUAAUAUUAGUCAUAAUAAUGUUGGAUCACAUGUUAAUAAGGUCAAGAUUCCAGGUUUCUUUAAACGCACAACCUGCCUGCACUUCAGCCUCUGACGCAACAGUUAAUUAAACUACCGAAUCACACCAUGGGUGGUAAAAUACCAGCCAUUUUCUCUUUCGGGGAAAUGACUUAAACACAAAUGGCACAAUGACAUGCUUGAGAUGAGACUGGCCUUCUGAUCUCAGGGAGCCAUUAACACUCGGCUGUACAUUGGAGUAUUUUGUGCUGCUCAUUUACCAAAAGUACAGCAGUCAGAUAUUACACAGUAAGCCGCUUCAUUGAUUCCUUUGCACUUGUUUUAAUUUGAAAAGCCAGGAUCCAGUCGACCGAUUGAACGUAGAGGACAACGACGACAGGCGGCGCCCGCCGGUGUGGCCCGAAGCAUCCGGCGUGAACCGUCCGUGGACAAAGUCCCGCCGCCCACCUGCCUCUGGUCUCCUGAAGCGAGACGGAGAAAAUGAUCAUCCGUCUCCACAGUGACUGAGUCAAGAACGUAUCUGAAAACAUCUUUUGAAGCGAAUUAAUGAAAAUGAAAUAAAUUGUUCACCUUA
Long non-coding RNA from Pseudoliparis swirei, 2915 nucleotides. RefSeq lists it as uncharacterized. NCBI's taxonomy places the organism in Eukaryota, Metazoa, Chordata, Actinopteri, Perciformes, Liparidae. The transcript has 8 exons. The record is from RefSeq and is a predicted model, not a curated record.